GCUCUGGUGGCUCAAUCGGAUAGAGCGUUGGACUUCUAAUCCAAAGGUUGCGGGUUCAAGUCCCGCCCAGAGUG
This 74-nucleotide transfer RNA is filed under the name Perkinsus olseni. RNAcentral's name for it is "tRNA-Arg". It matches the Rfam family "tRNA". Rfam says of the family: Transfer RNA (tRNA) molecules are approximately 80 nucleotides in length. Lineage: Eukaryota; Perkinsozoa; Perkinsida; Perkinsidae. The record is from RNAcentral.